GGUUAAGCGACUAAGCGUACACGGUGGAUGCCCUGGCAGUCAGAGGCGAUGAAGGACGUGCUAAUCUGCGAAAAGCGUCGGUAAGGUGAUAUGAACCGUUAUAACCGGCGAUGUCCGAAUGGGGAAACCCAGUGCAAUUCGUUGCACUAUCGUUAACUGAAUACAUAGGUUAACGAGGCGAACCGGGGGAACUGAAACAUCUAAGUACCCCGAGGAAAAGAAAUCAACCGAGAUUCCCCCAGUAGCGGCGAGCGAACGGGGAGCAGCCCAGAGUCUGAAUCAGCUUGUGUGUUAGUGGAACGGUCUGGAAAGUCCGACGGUACAGGGUGAUAGUCCCGUACACCAAAAUGCACAGGCUGUGAACUCGAAGAGUAGGGCGGGACACGUGGUAUCCUGUCUGAAUAUGGGGGGACCAUCCUCCAAGGCUAAAUACUCCUGACUGACCGAUAGUGAACCAGUACCGUGAGGGAAAGGCGAAAAGAACCCCGGCGAGGGGAGUGAAAAAGAACCUGAAACCGUGUACGUACAAGCAGUGGGAGCACCUUCGGGUGUGACUGCGUACCUUUUGUAUAAUGGGUCAGCGACUUAUAUUCUGUAGCAAGGUUAACCGUAUAGGGGAGCCGCAGGGAAACCGAGUCUUAACUGGGCGUUAAGUUGCAGGGUAUAGACCCGAAACCCGGUGAUCUAGCCAUGGGCAGGUUGAAGGUUGGGUAACACUAACUGGAGGACCGAACCGACUAAUGUUGAAAAAUUAGCGGAUGACUUGUGGCUGGGGGUGAAAGGCCAAUCAAACCGGGAGAUAGCUGGUUCUCCCCGAAAGCUAUUUAGGUAGCGCCUCGUGAACUCAUCUUCGGGGGUAGAGCACUGUUUCGGCUAGGGGGUCAUCCCGACUUACCAACCCGAUGCAAACUACGAAUACCGAAGAAUGUUAUCACGGGAGACACACGGCGGGUGCUAACGUCCGUCGUGAAGAGGGAAACAACCCAGACCGCCAGCUAAGGUCCCAAAGUCAUGGUUAAGUGGGAAACGAUGUGGGAAGGCACAGACAGCCAGGAUGUUGGCUUAGAAGCAGCCAUCAUUUAAAGAAAGCGUAAUAGCUCACUGGUCGAGUCGGCCUGCGCGGAAGAUGUAACGGGGCUAAACCAUGCACCGAAGCUGCGGCAGCGACACUAUGUGUUGUUGGGUAGGGGAGCGUUCUGUAAGCCUGCGAAGGUGACCUGUGAGGGUUGCUGGAGGUAUCAGAAGUGCGAAUGCUGACAUAAGUAACGAUAAAGCGGGUGAAAAGCCCGCUCGCCGGAAGACCAAGGGUUCCUGUCCAACGUUAAUCGGGGCAGGGUGAGUCGACCCCUAAGGCGAGGCCGAAAGGCGUAGUCGAUGGGAAACAGGUUAAUAUUCCUGUACUUGGUGUUACUGCGAAGGGGGACGGAGAAGGCUAUGUUAGCCGGGCGACGGUUGUCCCGGUUUAAGCAUGUAGGCUGAUUGUCCAGGCAAAUCCGGAUAAUCAAGGCUGAGGUGUGAUGACGAGGCACUACGGUGCUGAAGUAACAAAUGCCCUGCUUCCAGGAAAAGCCUCUAAGCAUCAGGUAACAUUAAAUCGUACCCCAAACCGACACAGGUGGUCAGGUAGAGAAUACCAAGGCGCUUGAGAGAACUCGGGUGAAGGAACUAGGCAAAAUGGUGCCGUAACUUCGGGAGAAGGCACGCUGGUGUGUAGGUGAAGUCCCUGCGGAUGGAGCUGAGACCAGUCGAAGAUACCAGCUGGCUGCAACUGUUUAUUAAAAACACAGCACUGUGCAAACACGAAAGUGGACGUAUACGGUGUGACGCCUGCCCGGUGCCGGAAGGUUAAUUGAUGGGGUUAUCCGUAAGGAGAAGCUCUUGAUCGAAGCCCCGGUAAACGGCGGCCGUAACUAUAACGGUCCUAAGGUAGCGAAAUUCCUUGUCGGGUAAGUUCCGACCUGCACGAAUGGCGUAAUGAUGGCCAGGCUGUCUCCACCCGAGACUCAGUGAAAUUGAACUCGCUGUGAAGAUGCAGUGUACCCGCGGCAAGACGGAAAGACCCCGUGAACCUUUACUAUAGCUUGACACUGAACAUUGAGCCUUGAUGUGUAGGAUAGGUGGGAGGCUUUGAAGCGUGGACGCCAGUCUGCGUGGAGCCAACCUUGAAAUACCACCCUUUAAUGUUUGAUGUUCUAACGUUGGCCCCUGACCGGGGUUGCGGACAGUGUCUGGUGGGUAGUUUGACUGGGGCGGUCUCCUCCCAAAGCGUAACGGAGGAGCACGAAGGUUAGCUAAUCCUGGUCGGACAUCAGGAGGUUAGUGCAAUGGCAUAAGCUAGCUUGACUGCGAGCGUGACGGCGCGAGCAGGUGCGAAAGCAGGUCAUAGUGAUCCGGUGGUUCUGAAUGGAAGGGCCAUCGCUCAACGGAUAAAAGGUACUCCGGGGAUAACAGGCUGAUACCGCCCAAGAGUUCAUAUCGACGGCGGUGUUUGGCACCUCGAUGUCGGCUCAUCACAUCCUGGGGCUGAAGUAGGUCCCAAGGGUAUGGCUGUUCGCCAUUUAAAGUGGUACGCGAGCUGGGUUUAGAACGUCGUGAGACAGUUCGGUCCCUAUCUGCCGUGGGCGCUGGAGAAUUGAGGGGGGCUGCUCCUAGUACGAGAGGACCGGAGUGGACGCAUCACUGGUGUUCGGGUUGUCAUGCCAAUGGCACUGCCCGGUAGCUAAAUGCGGAAGAGAUAAGUGCUGAAAGCAUCUAAGCACGAAACUUGCCCCGAGAUGAGUUCUCCCUGAGACUAUAAGUCUCCUGAAGGAACGUUAAAGACGAUGACGUUGAUAGGCCGGGUGUGUAAGCGCAGCGAUGCGUUGAGCUAACCGGUACUAAUGAACCGUGAGGCUUAACCUU
This 2901-nucleotide ribosomal RNA is filed under the name Klebsiella pneumoniae. RNAcentral's name for it is "23S ribosomal RNA". It matches the Rfam family "Bacterial large subunit ribosomal RNA". The record is from RNAcentral. Lineage: Bacteria; Pseudomonadati; Pseudomonadota; Gammaproteobacteria; Enterobacterales; Enterobacteriaceae.